RNAcentral lists this ribosomal RNA (301 nucleotides) under uncultured bacterium. RNAcentral describes it as "partial 16S ribosomal RNA". It matches the Rfam family "Bacterial small subunit ribosomal RNA", at positions 509 to 807 of the family's 1533-position model. The record is from RNAcentral.
CAGCAGCCGCGGUAAAACGUAGGGUGCAAGCGUUAAUCGGAAUUACUGGGCGUAAAGCGUGCGCAGGCGGUUUUGUAAGACAGAGGUGAAAUCCCCGGGCUCAACCUGGGAACUGCCUUUGUGACUGCAAGGCUGGAGUGCGGCAGAGGGGGAUGGAAUUCCGCGUGUAGCAGUGAAAUGCGUAGAUAUGCGGAGGAACACCGAUGGCGAAGGCAAUCUCCUGGGCCUGCACUGACGCUCAUGCACGAAAGCGUGGGGAGCAAACAGGAUUAGAUACCCGGGUAGUCCCUGUCUCUUAUAC